UGGGGUGGGUUGUGGAAGAAAUCUGGGAGCUGCCUGAACAGUAGGUCCGGGAAACUGCUCCGCUGCACCGCCCUUGUUAUUCAGGCUGACGCUCCGCACCUCUGGGUGGCUUCCAGUUCCAGGACUGCGCCCCAGAGCUCCAGGGCAGAGGCUUCAGACCUGACUCCAGGUGAGAGUUUAAAAUGCAAUGGCCAGAAGACAAGAGACUAUCACUAGAAGAAUGUGGACAUGGACUCCAAGACUGCUAAUCCUGACAGUGCUCCUCGGGUGUCAGCAGGGAGAUGGGCAAGGUCAAGAAAGACUGGACCAGUCAACAUUACCACUUCUGGGAAUAUAUCCCGUGGAUGCAAAAAAGCACAGUAGAAAUGACAUCUGCACCUAUAUGUUCAUUGCAGCACUGUUCACAAUAGCCAAAAACUGGAAACAACCCAAG
Sorex araneus (European shrew) is the source of this 433-nucleotide long non-coding RNA. RefSeq lists it as uncharacterized. NCBI's taxonomy places the organism in Eukaryota, Metazoa, Chordata, Mammalia, Eulipotyphla, Soricidae. The record is from RefSeq and is a predicted model, not a curated record. The transcript is spliced from 3 exons.